RNAcentral lists this transfer-messenger RNA (359 nucleotides) under Caulobacterales bacterium. It matches the Rfam family "Alphaproteobacteria transfer-messenger RNA". From Rfam's summary of the family: Bacterial tmRNA, also known as 10Sa RNA or SsrA, is named for its dual tRNA and mRNA-like properties. Its role is to liberate the mRNA from a stalled ribosome. Lineage: Bacteria; Pseudomonadati; Pseudomonadota; Alphaproteobacteria; Caulobacterales. The record is from RNAcentral.
UCACUUUAAAUCAACGCUCCGGACCCUUAUAUUGGUGCUGCUGGCUUGCCAGCUAUGACGAUAAACGCGCGUGUAAUAACCGGACUGGACCCGGGUGCAAUUCCCGGCGGCUCCACCAAUUUCCCCGGCAAUCAUUCCCGCCGGACUUACGGGGCCGAUCAGGAUCGACAGACGGCUAAAGACGUAGCUUUCGUCCGCAUGGGUACCGUUAAAUGCCCAUUAUUGUAGUUGCGAAUGACAACUAUGCUGAAGAGGUCGCUCUCGCUGCGUAAUGCGGCGCGAUGACUUCGCUUUAAGUCCCCGGUUCUAGCAAACCGUGGCGGGGUUCGGCGGGCGCCUGGCAACAGAAGCCCGCCACU